UCAUAGAGGGUGAGAAUCCCGUAUUUGGUUAUUCUUUCUAGCUUUGUGAUACACUUUCAAAGAGUCGGAUUGUUUGGGAAUGCAGUCCAAAAUGGGUGGUAAAUUUCAUCUAAAGCUAAAUAUUGGCGAGAGACCGAUAGCGAACAAGUACCGUGAGGGAAAGAUGAAAAGAACUUUGAGAAGAGAGUUAAACAGUACGUGAAAUUGUCAAAAGGGAAGCGUUUGACACCAGUGUUGUUUUUCCGAAAAUCAAUUAAGAAGGGCUUGAUUUUGUGUUGUAUUGACCUUAUCAGCUUUCUUCACUCUUUUUCGAGUCUUUCUUAAUGCACUUUUCGGUUAACAAGUCAACAUCAAUUUCUUUUGUUGUAAAAGGGUAUUUGGAAGGUGGCUUUCUUUUCGGAGAAAGUGUUUAUAGCCUUAUACCUCUACAAUCGGAGAGAUUGAGGUCUGCAGCGUAGAUCCUUCGGGGCUAGAUACACUUGUGCUAAGUUAUAGCUUUUCAUAGACAACUUGUUGACUAUGUUUAGUCAUGUAGCUUACCCGCUUGUGSUAUUUUACCUACGCUUAGGAUGUUGA
This 576-nucleotide ribosomal RNA is filed under the name uncultured Neocallimastigomycetes. RNAcentral describes it as "partial large subunit ribosomal RNA". Lineage: Eukaryota; Fungi; Neocallimastigomycota; Neocallimastigomycetes. The record is from RNAcentral.